This 442-nucleotide ribosomal RNA is filed under the name uncultured bacterium. RNAcentral's name for it is "partial 16S ribosomal RNA". It matches the Rfam family "Bacterial small subunit ribosomal RNA", at positions 338 to 795 of the family's 1533-position model. The record is from RNAcentral.
CCUACGGGAGGCAGCAGUGGGGAAUAUUGGGCAAUGGGCGCAAGCCUGACCCAGCAACGCCGCGUGAAGGAAGAAGGCUUUCGGGUUGUAAACUUCUUUUAAGAGGGAAGAGCAGAAGACGGUACGUCUUGAAUAAGCCACGGCUAACUACGUGCCAGCAGCCGCGGUAAUACGUAGGUGGCAAGCGUUGUCCGGAUUUACUGGGUGUAAAGGGCGGGUAGCCGGGCUGCAAAGUCAGAUGUGAAAUUCCGGGGCUCAACCCCGGACCUGCCUUUGAAACUGUUGGUCUUGAGUAUCGGAGAGGCCGGCGGAAUUCCUAGUGUAGCGGUGAAAUGCGUAGAUAUUAGGAGGAACACCAGUGGCGAAGGCGGCCUGCUGGACGACAACUGACGGUGAGGCGCGAACGCGUGGGGAGCAAACAGGAUUAGAUACCCGUGUAGUC